RNAcentral lists this ribosomal RNA (253 nucleotides) under uncultured bacterium. RNAcentral's name for it is "partial 16S ribosomal RNA". It matches the Rfam family "Bacterial small subunit ribosomal RNA", at positions 524 to 776 of the family's 1533-position model. The record is from RNAcentral.
UACGUAGGGUGCAAGCGUUAAUCGGAAUUACUGGGCGUAAAGCGUGCGCAGGCGGUUUUGUAAGACCGAUGUGAAAUCCCCGGGCUUAACCUGGGAACUGCAUUGGUGACUGCAAGGCUUGAGUGUGUCAGAGGGAGGUGGAAUUCCUAGUGUAGCAGUGAAAUGCGUAGAGAUGUGGAGGGAUACCGAUGGCGAAGGCAGCCCCCUGGGAUAACACUGACGCUCAUGCACGAAAGCGUGGGGAGCAAACAGG